RNAcentral lists this ribosomal RNA (691 nucleotides) under Acanthothecis sp. Mangold 30v. RNAcentral describes it as "eukaryotic LSU rRNA". It matches the Rfam family "Eukaryotic large subunit ribosomal RNA", at positions 143 to 858 of the family's 3401-position model. Lineage: Eukaryota; Fungi; Ascomycota; Lecanoromycetes; Ostropales; Graphidaceae. The record is from RNAcentral.
UUGUAAUUUGUAGAAGGUGCUUCGGGCGAGGCGACGACCCAAGUCCCAUGGAAUUGGGUACCGUGGAGGGUGAAAGUCCCGUAAAGUCGGCCGCCGAUCCCAUGUGAAGCCCUUUCGACGAGUCGAGUUGUUUGGGAAUGCAGCUCAAAUUGGGUGGUAAAUUUCAUCUAAAGCUAAAUACCUGCCAGAGACCGAUAGCGCACAAGUAGAGUGAUCGAAAGAUGAAAAGCACUUUGAAAAGAGAGUCAAACAGCACGUGAAAUUGUUGAAAAGGAAGCGCCUGCAGCCAGACUCGCCCGCGGGUGUUCAGCCGUCCUACGGGGCGGUGCACUCAUCCGCGACCGGGCCAGCAUCGGUUUCGGCGGCCGGAUAAAGAUUUCGGGAACGUAGCUCCCUCCGGGAGUGUAUAGCCCGAGGUGCAAUGCGACCUGCCGGGACCGAGGACCGCGCUUUUGCUAGGAUGCUGGCGUAAUGGCUGCCGGCGACCCGUCUUGAAACACGGACCAAGGAGUCGACCAACCGCGCGAGUGUUUGGGCGUAAAACCCAUGCGCGUAAUGAAAGUGAAUUCGGGUGGGAGCCUCCGGGCGCACCAUCGACCGAUCCUGAUGUCUUCGGAUGGAUUUGAGUACGAGCACUGUUGGUCGGACCCGAAAGAUGGUGAUCUAUGCGUGAAUAGAGUGAAGCCAGAGG